RNAcentral lists this ribosomal RNA (1747 nucleotides) under Rotylenchulus reniformis. Its description in RNAcentral is "SSU rRNA". It matches the Rfam family "Eukaryotic small subunit ribosomal RNA". Lineage: Eukaryota; Metazoa; Nematoda; Chromadorea; Rhabditida; Hoplolaimidae. The record is from RNAcentral.
NNNNNNNUAUAAGUAUAAUCUGCCAGUCAGAGAAACUGCGUACGGCUCAUUACACCAGCCUUAAUUUACUUGACCUUGACACCCUACUUGGAUAACUGUGGUAAUUCUAGAGCUAAUACAUGCACCAAAGCUCCAAUCUCCCCAGAGCGGAGCGCAUUUGUUCGCCACAAAACCAAGCGCCUCAGGGCGUUCAGUGUUGACUCAGAACAACUAAGCUGAUCGCACGGUCUUGCACCGGCGACGUGUCUUUCAAGUGUCUGCCUUAUCAACUUUCGAUGGUAGUGUAUCUGACUACCAUGGUGAUGACGGGUAACGGAGGAUAAGGGUUCGACUCCGGAGAAGGGGCCUGAGAAAUGGCCACUACGUCUAAGGAUGGCAGCAGGCGCGCAAAUUACCCACUCUCGACGCGAGGAGGUAGUGACGAGAAAUAACGAGACCGUUCUCAUCUGAGGCCGGUCAUCGGAAUGGGUACAAUUUAAACCCUUUAACGAGUAUCUAUGAGAGGGCAAGUCUGGUGCCAGCAGCCGCGGUAAUUCCAGCUCUCAAAAUGCAUAGAAUUAUUGCUGCGGUUAAAAAGCUCGUAGUUGGAUCUGUGCUGAGCGACCGGUCUGCCCACUGGGCACGCACUGGCUCGCCCGGCUUUCCCUGCCGGUCUCUCUCUGACGUUGGUUUUAACCGGCUGGCGUCAGUGGGCUGGCGAGUUUACUUUGAACAAAUCAGAGUGCUUCAAACAGGCGUCUCGCCUGAAUGUUCGUGCAUGGAAUAAUAGAAGAGGAUCACGGUCCGAUUUUAUUGGUUUUGCUGACCGAGAUAAUGGUUAACAGAGACAAACGGGGCCAUUCGUAUUGCUACGUGAGAGGUGAAAUUCUUGGACCGUAGCAAGACGGACUACAGCGAAAGCAUUUGGCAAGAAUGUCUUCAUUAAUCAAGAACGAAAGUCAGAGGUUCGAAGGCGAUCAGAUACCGCCCUAGUUCUGACCGUAAACGAUGCCAACUAGCGAUCCGCCGGCGGAUUCAUUCGCCCUGGUGGGGAGCUUCCCGGAAACGAAAGUCUUCCGGUUCCGGGGGAAGUAUGGUUGCAAAGCUGAAACUUAAAGGAAUUGACGGAAGGGCACCACCAGGAGUGGAGCCUGCGGCUUAAUUUGACUCAACACGGGGAAACUCACCCGGCCCGGACACCGUAAGGAUUGACAGAUUGAUAGCUUUUUCAUGAUUCGGUGGAUGGUGGUGCAUGGCCGUUCUUAGUUCGUGGAGCGAUUUGUCUGGUUUAUUCCGAUAACGAGCGAGACUCUGGCCUACUAAAUAGUUGGCACAUUGCCACUGUGUGCACAACUUCUUAGAGGGAUUUUCGGUGUUCAGCCGCACGAAAUUGAGCAAUAACAGGUCUGUGAUGCCCUUAGAUGUCCGGGGCUGCACGCGCGCUACACUGGCAAAAUCAGCGUGCUUGUCCUCCCCCGAAAGGGGUUGGUAAACCGAUGAAAAUUUGCCGUGAUUGGGAUCGGACAUUGCAAUUAUUGUCCGUGAACGAGGAAUCCCUUGUAAGGGCGAGUCAUCAACUCGUCCUGAAUACGUCCCUGCCCUUUGUACACACCGCCCGUCGCUGCCCGGGACUGAGCCAUUUCGAGAAAACCGGGGAUUGUUGGCCUGACGGCUCUCGGGUCGUCUAGCCGAUGAGAACCGGCUUAAUCGCACUGGUUUGAACCGGGCAAAAGUCGUAACAAGGUAGCUGUAGGUGAACCUGCUGCUG